CCUACGGGUGGCAGCAGUGGGGGAUAUUGCACAAUGGGGGAAACCCUGAUGCAGCGACGCCGCGUGUGGGAAGACGGUCCUCUGGAUUGUAAACCACUGUCCCCAGGGACGAAGAUGACGGUACCUGGGGAGGACGCUCCGGCUAACUACGUGCCAGCAGCCGCGGUAAUACGUAGGGAGCGAGCGUUGUCCGGAAUUACUGGGUGUAAAGGGAGCGUAGGCGGGACUGCAAGUUGGGUGUCAAAUCUACCGGCUCAACCGGUAGCCGCACUCAAAACUGCAGUUCUUGAGUGAAGUAGAGGCAGGCGGAAUUCGUGGUGUAGCGGUGAAAUGCAUAGAUAUCACGAGGAACCCCGAUUGCGAAGGCAGCCUGCCGGGGUGCGACUGACGCUGAGGCUCGAAGGUGCGGGUAUCAAACAGGAUUAGAUACCCGAGUAGUC
This 440-nucleotide ribosomal RNA is filed under the name uncultured bacterium. RNAcentral describes it as "partial 16S ribosomal RNA". It matches the Rfam family "Bacterial small subunit ribosomal RNA", at positions 338 to 795 of the family's 1533-position model. The record is from RNAcentral.